CCUACGGUGGGCAGCAGUGGGGAAUAUUGCACAAUGGGGGAAACCCUGAUGCAGCGACGCCGCGUGAGUGAAGAAGUAAUUCGUUACGUAAAGCUCUAUCAGCAGGGAAGAAAUACUGACCUUACGGUCAGCAGACGGUACCUGAGUAAGAAGCCCCGGCUAACUACGUGCCAGCAGCCGCGGUAAUACGUAGGGGGCAAGCGUUAUCAGGAUUUACUGGGGGUAAAGGGAGCGUAGACGGUGGGCCAAGUCUGGAGUGAAAUGCCGCAGCUUAACUGCGGAACUGCUUUGGAAACUGGUGAACUAGAGUGCGGGAGAGGUAAGCGGAAUUCCUGGUGUAGCGGUGAAAUGCGUAGAUAUUAGGAAGAACACCGGUGGCGAAGGCAGCUUACUGGACCGUAACUGACGUUGAGGCUCGAAAGCGUGGGGAUCAAACAGGAUUAGAUACCCGAGUAGUC
RNAcentral lists this ribosomal RNA (458 nucleotides) under uncultured bacterium. Its description in RNAcentral is "partial 16S ribosomal RNA". It matches the Rfam family "Bacterial small subunit ribosomal RNA", at positions 338 to 795 of the family's 1533-position model. The record is from RNAcentral.